GUGCUCACUUAACAGUACAUAUACUAAAAUUGGAACGAUGCAGAAAAGACUAGCAUGGCUCCUGCGCAAGGAUGACAUGCAAAUUCAUAAAAUGAGAUUAAUUUAA
Small nuclear RNA from Choloepus didactylus (southern two-toed sloth), 106 nucleotides. Lineage: Eukaryota; Metazoa; Chordata; Mammalia; Pilosa; Megalonychidae. The record is from RefSeq and is a predicted model, not a curated record.